GAUGAACGCUGGCGGCGUGCUUAACACAUGCAAGUCGAACGGUGAAGCAGGAGCUUGCUCUUGUGGAUCAGUGGCGAACGGGUGAGUAACACGUGAGCAACCUGCCCCUGACUCUGGGAUAAGCGCUGGAAACGGCGUCUAAUACUGGAUAUGUGAUGUGACCGCAUGGUCUGCAUCUGGAAAGAAUUUCGGUUGGGGAUGGGCUCGCGGCCUUUCAGCUGGUUGGUGAGGUAAUGGCUCACCAAGGCGUCGACGGGUAGCCGGCAUGAGAGGGUGACAGGCCACACUGGGACUGAGACACGGCCCAGACUCCUACGGGAGGGAGCAGUGGUGAAUAUUGCACAAUGGGCGGAAGCCUGAUGCAGCAACGCCGCGUGAGGGAUGACGGCCUUCGGGUUGUAAACCUCUUUUAGCGGGGAAGAAGCGAAAGUGACGGUACCUGCAGAAAAAGCACCGGCUAACUACGUGCCAGCCGCCGCGGUAA
RNAcentral lists this ribosomal RNA (484 nucleotides) under uncultured bacterium. RNAcentral's name for it is "partial 16S ribosomal RNA". It matches the Rfam family "Bacterial small subunit ribosomal RNA", at positions 28 to 523 of the family's 1533-position model. The record is from RNAcentral.